RNAcentral lists this ribosomal RNA (757 nucleotides) under uncultured Actinomyces sp. RNAcentral describes it as "bacterial SSU rRNA". It matches the Rfam family "Bacterial small subunit ribosomal RNA", at positions 28 to 776 of the family's 1533-position model. The record is from RNAcentral. Lineage: Bacteria; Bacillati; Actinomycetota; Actinomycetes; Actinomycetales; Actinomycetaceae.
GACGAACGCUGGCGGCGUGCUUAACACAUGCAAGUCGAACGAAAAUACCAAGCUUGCUUGGUUGAUUAGUGGCGAACGGGUGAGUAACACGUGAGUAACCUGCCCCUUACUUUCCUGGAUAACUGCUCGAAAGGGUAGCUAAUACGGGAUAUUCUGACUAGCCUGCAUGGGUUGGUUUGGAAAGGUUGUUUUUCUGGUAAGGGAUGGGCUCGCGGCCUAUCAGCUUGUUGGUGGGGUGAUGGCCUACCAAGGCUUUGACGGGUAGCCGGCCUGAGAGGGUGGACGGUCACACUGGGACUGAGAUACGGCCCAGACUCCUACGGGAGGCAGCAGUGGGGAAUAUUGCACAAUGGGCGCAAGCCUGAUGCAGCGACGCCGCGUGAGGGAUGAAGGCCUUCGGGUUGUAAACCUCUUUCGUCAGGGAACAAGGCACUGUCUUUUUGGUGGUGUUGAGGGUACCUGGAUAAGAAGCGCCGGCUAACUACGUGCCAGCAGCCGCGGUAAUACGUAGGGCGCAAGCGUUGUCCGGAAUUAUUGGGCGUAAAGAGCUCGUAGGCGGCUGGUCGCGUCUGUCGUGAAAACUUCCGGCUCAACCGGGGGCUUGCGGUGGGUACGGGCCGGCUAGAGUGCGGUAGGGGUAACUGGAACUCCUGGUGUAGCGGUGGAAUGCGCAGAUAUCAGGAAGAACACCGAUGGCGAAGGCAGGUUACUGGGCCGUUACUGACGCUGAGGAGCGAAAGCGUGGGGAGCGAACAGG